Molecule: ribosomal RNA, 446 nt
Filed under: uncultured bacterium
Lineage: Bacteria
Description: partial 16S ribosomal RNA
Rfam family: Bacterial small subunit ribosomal RNA
Source: RNAcentral
CCUACGGGAGGCAGCAGUCGAGAAUCUUUCACAAUGGGGGAAACCCUGAUGCUGCGACGCCGCGUGGGGGAAUGAAGGUCUUCGGAUUGUAAACCCCUUUCAUGUGGGAGCAAAUUAAAAAGAUAGUACCACAAGAGGAAGAGACGGCUAACUCUGUGCCCGCAGCCGUGGUAAUAGAGAGGUUUCAAGCGUUGUUCGGAAUCACUGGGCGUAAAGUGUGCGUAGGCUGUUUCGUAAGUCGUGUGUGAAAGGCGCGGGCUCAACCCGGGAACGGCACAUGAUACUGCGAAGCGAGAGUAAUGGAGAGGGAAGCGGAAUUCUCGGUGUAGCGGUGAAAUGCGUAGAUAUCGGGAGGAACACUCGUGGCGAAGGCGGGUUCCUGGACAUUAACUGACGCUGAGGCACGAAGGCGAGGGGAGCAAAAAGGAUUAGAUACCCCGGUAGUC